Molecule: RNA transcript, 1552 nt
Organism: Rhinopithecus roxellana (golden snub-nosed monkey)
Lineage: Eukaryota; Metazoa; Chordata; Mammalia; Primates; Cercopithecidae
Gene name: high mobility group protein B3 pseudogene
Exons: 1
Source: RefSeq, a predicted model, not a curated record
CUCUUGUGGAGGCAGCUAGCGCGAGGCUGGGGAGCGCUGAGCCGCGCGUCGUGCCUUGCGCUGCCCAGACUAGCGAACAAUACAGUCAGGAUGGCUAAAGGUGACCCGAAGAAACCAAAGGGCAAGAUGUCUGCUUAUGCCUUCUUUGUGCAGACGUGCAGAGAAGAACAUAAGAAGAAAAACCCGGAGGUCCCUGUGAACUUUGCAGAAUUUUCCAAGAAGUGCUCUGAGAGGUGGAAGACGAUGUCCGGGAAAGAGAAAUCUAAAUUUGAUGAAAUGGCAAAGGCAGAUAAAGUGCGCUAUGACCGGGAAAUGAAGGAUUAUGGACCAGCUAAGGGAGGCAAGAAGAAGAAGGAUCCUAAUGCUCCCAAAAGGCCACCGUCUGGAUUCUUCCUGUUCUGUUCAGAAUUCCGUCCCAAGAUCAAAUCCACAAACCCCGGCAUCUCUAUUGGAGACGUGGCAAAAAAGCUGGGUGAGAUGUGGAAUAAUUUAAAUGACAGUGAAAAGCAGCCUUACAUCACUAAGGCAGCAAAGCUGAAGGAGAAGUAUGAGAAGGAUGUUGCCGACUAUAAGUCAAAAGGAAAGUUUGAUGGUGCAAAGGGUCCUGCUAAAGUUGCCCGGAAAAAGGUGGAAGAGGAAGAUGAAGAAGAAGGGGAGGAAGAAGAGGAGGAGGAGGAGGAGGAGGAUGAAUAAAGAAACUGUUGAUCUGUCUCCUUGUGAAUACUUAGAGUAGGGGAGCGCCGUAAUUGACUCAUCUCUUAUUUGAGAAGUGUCUGUUGCCCUCAUUAGGUUUAAUUACAAAAUUUGAUCACGGUCAUAUUGUAGUCUCUCAAAGUGCUCUAGAAAUUGUCAGUGGUUUACAUGAAGUGGCCAUGGGUGUCUGGAGCACCCUGAAACUGUAUCAAAGUUGUACAUAUUUCCAAACAUUUUUAAAAUGAAAAGGCACUCUUCGUGUUCUCCUCACUCUGUGCACUUUGCUGUUGGUGUGACAAGGCAUUUAAAGAUGUUUCUGGCUUUUUUUUUUUUAAAUUUGUAAGGUGGUGUUAACUAUGGUUAUUGGCUAGAAAUCCUGAGUUUUCAACUGUAUAUAUCUAUAGUUUGUAAAAAGAACAAAACAACCGAGACAAACUCUUGAUGCUCCUUGCUCGGCGUUGAGGCUGUGGGGAAGAUGCCUUUUGGAGAGGCUAUAGCUCAGGGUGUGCACUGUGAGGCUGGACCUGUUGACUCUGCAGGGGGCAUCCAUUUAGCUUCAGGUUGUCUUGUUUCUGUAUAUAGUGACAUAGCAUUCUGCUGCCAUCUUAGCUGUGGACAGAGAGGUCAGCUGGCAUGAGAAUUUUUUUUUUAAGUGCGGUAGUUUUUAAACUGUUUGUUUUUAAACAAACUGUAGAACUCUUCAUUGUCAGCAAAGCAAAGAGCCACUGCAUCAAUGAAAGUUCAAGAACCUCCUGUACUUAAACAUGAUUUGCAACGUUCUGUUAUUUUUUUUUUUUGUAUGUUUAGAAUGCUGAAAUGUUUUUGAAGUUAAAUAAACAGUAUUACAUUAAAAAAAAAA